AUGGAAGAAGAUGAGAGCUUAUGCAGUGAACCCAGCAUGGCAGGAGUUACAGCACGCGCUAAGCCUGAAGUUGGCCGGCAGAUAUCAGUGAGUGAGUUCCUUUGCCACUGCUGUUACGACAUUCUGGUCAAUCCCACCACCCUGAACUGUGGGCACAGCUUCUGUAGACAUUGCUUAGCCUUGUGGUGGGCGUCCUCCAAGAAGAAUGAAUGUCCGGAAUGCAGAGAAAAAUGGGAAGGAUUCCCCAAAGUCAACAUUCUCCUGAGGGAUGUUAUUGAAAGGCUGUUUUCUGAUGCCAUUGAACAAAGAAAAGAAGAUAUUCAGCAAAACAGUGAUGUAGUGCGCAGCUUAGCAACCUUCCAAAAAUAUGGGAAUGACCAGAUUUCUACGGCUCCAAACACAGGAAGAAUUAAUCCUCGAGGAAGAGGGUUUUUCUCAGGCGUUCUGACAGCUUUAACUUGUGUAGCAGUAGUACUACUUGGGUAUCACUGGAGUAGCAGAGAACUUGAAGAUGAUCUUCUUGUCCACAAGCCUGUUGCUAAAUGGACUGCUGAAGAAGUGGCGCUUUGGCUGGAGCAGCUGGGCCCUUGGGCCUCUCUUUAUAAAGAAAGAUUUUUGCUGGAGAAAGUGAAUGGAAGGCUCCUUCUAACGCUGACAGAGGAGGAUUUCACAAAAGAGCCUUUCAGUAUAGAGAACAAUAACCAUAGAAAAGCAAUUACAGCAGAAUUGGAAUGUGUCAGAACUUUAGGUGUUAAACCACCACAGAACCUUUGGGAGUACAAGGCAGUAAAUCCAGGAAAAUCACUCUUUCUUUUGUAUGCACUCAAGAAUUCUCCAAGACUCAGUAUGUUAUACUUAUAUCUGUUUGAUUAUACUGAAGCUUUCCUACCUUUUAUCCACACCAUUUGUCCUAUGCAAGAAGACCAAUAUGAAGACAUGGUCACAAAAUUAUUAGACCUUAAAGAUCCCACUUGGAAACAGUGGAGAGAAUUCAUUGUAAAGUAUAUAUUUUUGCCAUACCAGUUGGUAGCUGAAUUUGCUUGGGACUGGCUGGAUGUGCACUACUGGACAUCAAGAUUUAUCAUUGUAAAUGCCAUGCUACUCUCUGUUCUGGAACUAUUCUCCUUUUGGAAGCUCUGGUCAAGAAGAGAAUUGAAGACUAUUCCUCACAGAAUGUGGAAACAUUUUUGGAAAGUCUCAACCCAGGGUCUUUUUGUUGCAGUUUUUUGGCCUGUUAUUCCUCAGUUUGUCUGCAAUUGUUUGUUUUACUGGGCCUUGUACUUCAACCCAAUUAUAAACAUUGAUCUUGUAGUUAAAGAAGUAAGGCGCCUGGAGACACAAGUGCAAUGACUGACAUCGAGCUUUUGAGCUGUAGUACCUGUCUGCUAAGUGGGAACUUGAGCUGCAGUGUGUGGUGGGGAGGUGCAUCACUGUAAUGACUGAAUGUUUGUGCUUUUAAAACUUCUCCAAGAAGUCUUUAGUUCUUCAGCUCUUGGCCAAGCAGUAACAGCCAGGAAACUAUGUUGUACUGUGAGGCCAGUGUUGGCAAGCUAUGAUAAUGAAUAUCAGGACUUCAGAGACUGUUCUGGAAUCUCUGUGGUGCUGUUGUGGAUACCUGGUCAUGUCUGCUUCCUUUGCAGCUCUGAAGUAACAGCUUUCAGCUCUGGGUAGUAGAAGAGUACCUUUGAGGCAUAACCAAACUGUUAUCUCUACAACAGCAUUGCAAGAGUUACUUUCACACGCAGUGCAUUCCUGGCUGAAAAAAACUGACAGAGCAACUGCAGUGCUACAAAUGGAGCAGCUUGCACUCCUGAGCGUUUGGGGAAAUUUGGCUGGAGUUGUGUGGUGGCCAAAGGAACUGCGACAGCAGUUGAUGGCAAAGCUGGGGCUGCUUGAGUGAUGGUUGUAACUCUGAGGAAACCCCUGAGGGAAGUGAAGAAUUUACGGAGCGUAGCAGUUCCUGGGCAGUGGGGAAAGAAGAUGCAGGAGGGGUAGAAAACAGGAAGACAAAGGCAAGACUUUGUAAAUUCUAUUCCUGGUUGCAUCAGGGAAUUGUUUGCCAACUUUGGAGAAAUCCCAAUCCCUUAUUUGAAUCCAGGUAAGGUGGAAGCAGUGAAUUGUCUUCUCCCUGGGGAGCUCAAGUGUAAUUCCCGGAAGUGUGCCAUGUAAGCUAAAGAAAAGGAAACAAACUUGUUCUUGCAGUUUGUUUAUAUUAGAGCUCCUAGUCAUCCAGGCGCAAACCAAGACUGCGCAGUACCAGAUGCUGUGAAUAUGACUGCAGGAAAGGUCUGUUGCAAGAGCGCUGUGACCUGAGUAUGACAGAAGCAAUGAAGGAGACUCCUGGAACCCGCAGAACUACAGAAGCAGCAAGGGUAUCAGCAUGGUAAGGGUUGCAUGAGUGUAUAAGCAGCCUAAAACCAUUUCCAGAAUAUUUUAUCAGAACUUCCGUGGGAUAAAAUCCAAAAAUUGAAAAGUGGAGUGACAUACUUGUGCAGUUCCACAUAGUUUAUGAUUAAGAUGCAUUUUUAAGUUGUUCUGUGACAUCUGUUGUUACAGCAGUUGCUCAUUUCUUGUCGGGGUGGGAAUAUCCCCAAGGGUUCCAUUGUGCAUUCCUGAAAAAGCAGCCAUGCUUUUACUAGGCCAUUUGGGGGUAACUCCUGUUUUUAAGCAUGGAAUGGAUCUUCUUGUCUGUGAGUUUUCUUUUUUGUCAUGCAAAUCGUGUGUGGCUGCAUUGGAGACCAUACUGUGGCUGAGGAAAAAGGGAGGGAACCAGACUGGGUUUAAUUUGUUGGCUUAAUGAUGUGUACGAGAAAUUACAAAUGCAUUGCUGUGAUAUGCAGAGGUCACAGGAAAUAAGUACAAGCAAGUGUACAAAGAUACUCUACAGCAAGACAGUUUGAGUCUAGACAGUUAGAGCUUUCAAAAAGCUUGCAAUAUUUAAUUCCUGUGAUCAUCACGUAUCUGGAAUUGUGACUGCCUUUGCUAAAAUUUCAGCUGAUGAGAGAAAGCUUUAGAGAAGGGUUUUUGGAGGGGACGGUGAAAGCCAGACCAGCCCCAAAGCCCUGACGAGGUCUGUCCACGUAAAUGGGUGCCAGGCAGCCGCUUUACAAGUGGAGGUCAAAGGGAAAACAAAUCCAUACCAAUCCCAGCAUGGCUCUAGGCACUGCUUCUGUCCCCACUGCUGUUUGACAAACUCUGUAGUUGUCCUUGUGAUUUUAAUAACUAAGUCACGGAGAUUAGAGGCUAUGCAUGGCUUUCUGAAGAGUGAAAUUAAGUAAGAAGUGAAGACAGACUGAGAGAAAGUAGAGAGAGAACAGACUGAGAGAAAGUAGCACCAGGUAAUCCGUUAUGGUUGUGUUGCGCUUGAUUUCAAAUCUGUAAUUUUGUUGCCCACAUUGGAGUCCUGCCAUUGGAGUUUAAGCUUCUGGAUUGCUGCCUAUGCAGGCUCUUGAGAGCUUGGAUUGUGCUGUGCAUUGUGUCAUGAUUAUCAUGUCUUUGCAAGAUAUUUUCUGCCACACCUUCCUAUAUAAUUUUUCCUGGCUUUCUGGCUGCCUACCUUGCAAUAAUAUUUAAAACAAACAAACAAACAGCAGUCCCUUAAAUUUCUGUUUGCAUGUAGGGGGAAAAAGGCACUUAAGAAGCAUGAGUUUUUUGUGGCAGGCCGUACUUCCUAUACCAUUUUCCCUUUGCAAGGGUCGCAAAGUUUUUCGAUACUGUAUUUUUAUUGAGAUACAGAGCUUUAGUGAACUGUGAUACACAGCUGCAUUAAUCAUUGGCAUCCUGUAUAGUCCAUGUGGAUUUUAUAAGAAAUUCUAAGCCAUGCUAUCAAAGGCGGAGGCCACAGAAACAUUUUUGAUGUCAAGUAUAUUUAGGAUUGCCUAUAGUGAUGUUUCCUUGUAAGGUCAUAGUGUUCCAGUAGUUUGGAGGUUGAGAACUAGGGGUGAGCAGUUUUUCUGAUGCAUCUCCCAGGUCCUGCCAGGAGUGGAUGCCCUCAAACUGUAUGCGUUACCACUUUUUUCUUUUUCUGGCUUAGAUUUGUCCACAAAUAGAUUUGUCACAAGCCCUCAGGAACGGCCUUUCUCACCUCAUCUCUUUGCCCAGACUGCUGCCAUACACAACUACAGCUUAUAGAAAUAGCAAACUUCUUUGGACAGAUACAUUUGCCUGAUAGUGCAGCACAAGCAUUGAGAAAGAGGUAAAUUACCUUUCCCUCCCUGCUCCCUGCCUACGGAACGGGUGAGUGCGAAGCCUGACUCAGAGCCAUCAGGCUGAAGGCAGGCCCUCUCUGUAAUGAUCACUCCAGGCUGCCACAAGCAGUGAAACAGUCUUUCAUCGCUUCCCUUGAUGUUCUUGCUGAGGUUUGGACCAAGCAAGGAUGAAGGCUUGGAGGAGGAACAAAGUGCAGAAGGAAUAACAGGGGCACGCUGAGGUCAGGAAGUGGAAUUGGGGCAGUGAGUCCAGUGGGACCUUCUGCUGGCCCCAUCAUGUGAGCGCCUUCCCUCGGUCUUUAAUCCUGUGAUUGCCCUUCUUUCCUCCCCCCAGCCCCUGCUCAGCUUGUACAGAGGACCUGCUUCAGGAAUGAGUGGGACGUGUGAAGAAGUGCAGGAAGACAAAGGAGAAUCUCUUGAUUUAGGCAGCUGAGUGCUCUUCUGGAAAAGUGGCUUUUAUCCUAGCGGUGCAGCAGCAGUCUGUUGAGCCACACGCUCUGCCUGUGCUCCAUGCCUGCGCCCGGUGCUCCUGGGCUGGGGGCCGAGCGGGCGCAGUGAGAGCCGGGCUGUGCCGUGCUGUGCCGCGCUCUGUCGUGUGGCAGUGCUAAAUAGUGUGGGGUUCUUUCACGACACCGCAGGAACCUAAAAUUAGCGGAUACUUUUCUGUGCACUAGCUGCUUAGAAAGGAGGGUAUAGCUCCACAGGAGCAUGGAAGAAAUACGUCCAGUCAGGUUCUGCAUUGAUGAGUACCUCAGAAAAUCUACGAGGAAAUGAACUGUAAACUAUUACAACUGCUCUCUAUUACGGGACACCUAUUUAAUAAGCAGGAUCCAAAAAAUUAAAUAUUUGCCAAGUGCGUUGUCUGUGAGGGUAAGGCAGGAGGUGGGGGUCCUGUAAUUACGGACCCACCCGUACCUUCUUCACUGCGCCCGCCUCGCUCUGCGGGAGCCGCCGCGCCGUGCCGCCGCGAGCAGCGCCUACGAUGUGUCCCGGCACGGCGCCUCGGCGGGCGAGCAGCCGGCUGCCCUACGUGCGGGCUGCAGUCUGGAGAUCCUGAACUUGAAACAUGAAGUUUAAGAGUAAAGGGAGGACGAGUCAAAGGACCUCCAGCGCGGCAGCUCCGUGCCGCUCGGCAGCGGACAGGCGGCUCUCCUGGCCGCAGCGGGCCGGCCGCUUCUCGGGAGGGAAGAUGCGCCUCGCCGCGUCUCUCCGAGGGCUGCCCGCUCCGCCCCAACCCCCGCCUCAGCUCCCGGGAAGCGGCACUCACCGGCGGCGAGCAGCAGCAGCAGCACCAACGGCAGCGGGGCCGGGCGGCGGGGCUCCAUG
Lagopus muta (rock ptarmigan) is the source of this 5534-nucleotide RNA transcript. It is a transcript of the gene named bifunctional apoptosis regulator, with no coding region annotated. The transcript is spliced from 10 exons. Lineage: Eukaryota; Metazoa; Chordata; Aves; Galliformes; Phasianidae. The record is from RefSeq and is a predicted model, not a curated record.